RNAcentral lists this ribosomal RNA (347 nucleotides) under Evadne spinifera. RNAcentral describes it as "eukaryotic LSU rRNA". It matches the Rfam family "Eukaryotic large subunit ribosomal RNA", at positions 666 to 964 of the family's 3401-position model. Lineage: Eukaryota; Metazoa; Arthropoda; Branchiopoda; Diplostraca; Podonidae. The record is from RNAcentral.
CCAAGGAGUCUAACAUGUGCGCGAGUCGUCGAGUCACAAUCGAAACUCGUGAGGCGCAAUGAAAGUAAAGCAGCCCUGAAGAAGGUGUUCUGUGAGGGAAGAUCUCGUCUUUUUUUCAAACCGAAGCGAGCGCAUUCCCAGGGCGUUCGAAGCCGCGACUUAGUCGGCCGGACGAACCUAGAGCGUACACGUUGGGACCCGAAAGAUGGUGACCUAUGCCUGGCCAGGACGAAGCCAGGGGAAACCCUGGUGGAGGUCCGCAGCGAUUCUGACGUGCAAAUCGAUCGUCGGAGUUGGGUAUAGGGGCGAAAGACUAAUCGAACCAUCUAGUAGCUGGUUCCCCCCGA